AAGGUUUCCGUAGGUGAACCUGCGGAAGGAUCAUUACCGAAUUGUCAACACGAGUUGUUGCUGGUCCUCAAAUGGGGGCAUGUGCACACUCUGUUUGCACAUCCACUCACACCUGUGCACCCUCCAUAGUUCUGCAGCCUGGGGGCUCUGUCCCCCCUGCUGUGGCUCUAUGUAUUUACACACACACACUGUGAUAAAGUCUUAUGGAAUGUAUGCCGCGUUUAACGCAAUACAAUACAACUUUCAGCAACGGAUCUCUUGGCUCUCGCAUCGAUGAAGAACGCAGCGAAAUGCGAUAAGUAAUGUGAAUUGCAGAAUUCAGUGAAUCAUCGAAUCUUUGAACGCACCUUGCGCCCUUUGGCUAUUCCRAAGGGCAUGCCUGUUUGAGUAUCAUGAACACCUCAACUCUCAUGGCUUGCCAUGACGAGCUUGGACUUUGGGGGUCUUGCCGGCCUGCGGUCGGCUCCUCUCAAAUGAAUCAGCUUACCAGUGUUUGGUGGCAUCACAGGUGUGAUAACUAUCUACGCUUGUGGUUUUCCACCAGGUAACCUUCAGUGAUGGAGGUUUGCUGGGGCUCAUAAAUGUCUCUCCUCAGUGAGGACAGCUCUUUGAACAUUUGAUCUCAAAUCAGGUAGGACUACCCGCUGAACUUAAGCAUAUCAAUAAGCGGAGGAAAAGAAACUAACAAGGAUUCCCCUAGUAACUGCGAGUGAAGCGGGAAGAGCUCAAAUUUAAAAUCU
Molecule: ribosomal RNA, 740 nt
Filed under: uncultured Thelephoraceae
Lineage: Eukaryota; Fungi; Basidiomycota; Agaricomycetes; Thelephorales; Thelephoraceae
Description: eukaryotic LSU rRNA
Source: RNAcentral